UGGGCAACCUGCCCUCAGCUCUGGGAUAACUCCGGGAAACCGGGGCUAAUACCGGAUACGACCUUCCCUCGCAUGGGGGUUGGUGGAAAGUUCUUCGGCUGAGGAUGGGCCCGCGGCCUAUCAGCUUGUUGGUGGGGUGAUGGCCUACCAAGGCGACGACGGGUAGCCGGCCUGAGAGGGUGACCGGCCACACUGGGACUGAGACACGGCCCAGACUCCUACGGGAGGCA
This 230-nucleotide ribosomal RNA is filed under the name uncultured bacterium. RNAcentral describes it as "partial 16S ribosomal RNA". It matches the Rfam family "Bacterial small subunit ribosomal RNA", at positions 118 to 350 of the family's 1533-position model. The record is from RNAcentral.